Molecule: ribosomal RNA, 292 nt
Filed under: uncultured Acidobacteriota bacterium
Lineage: Bacteria; Pseudomonadati; Acidobacteriota
Description: uncultured Acidobacteria bacterium partial 16S ribosomal RNA
Source: RNAcentral
GGACUACUGGGGUAUCUAAUCCUGUUUGCUACCCACGCUUUCGUGUUUCAGCGUCAGUUACGGUCCAGAGAGCCGUCUACACCACCGGUGUUCCUCCUGAUAUCUACGCAUUUCACCGCUACACCAGGAAUUCCACUCUCCUCUCCCGCACUCGAGUCCGGCAGUUUCCGGCGCACCCUCCCAGUUGAGCCGGGAGAUUUCACACCAGACUUACCAAACCGCCUACACACCCUUUACGCCCAGUAACUCCGAACAACGCUUGCUGCCUACGUAUUACCGCGGCUGCUGGCAC